CUGUCAUGACACGAUGAUGAGUCAGAAAGGUCACACCUUGCUCUUAGUCCUUGUCAGUGUCAUGUUCUGUGGUGCUGCACAUGGAUUCCUUUAGCAAAAGUGUCUUAUUCCUUGAUUGAGUUAGAGGCAUUUGUCUGAAAAAGG
Molecule: small nucleolar RNA, 144 nt
Organism: Jaculus jaculus (lesser Egyptian jerboa)
Lineage: Eukaryota; Metazoa; Chordata; Mammalia; Rodentia; Dipodidae
Source: Ensembl